This is a non-coding RNA of Paramuricea clavata, 332 nucleotides long. Lineage: Eukaryota; Metazoa; Cnidaria; Anthozoa; Malacalcyonacea; Plexauridae. The record is from the annotation of a GenBank genome assembly.
AACAAGAUAUCAGUUGAUGUCCACAUCAUUAUAUUUGUGUUGUAUGCAAUGAUUUUUGCCUGCAGAUUGAUUGAGAUAAGAAAAUAAAAAGCUGAAUGUGCAAAUAAUUACUUCUGGCAAAAUGUAUUGCUUUGAAUCCCUUGUCUGUAGGUCAACAAUAAAUGCAUGCAGUGCCAGUCAAAUGGUCAUGAAAGUGGACAACUUUUUCAAACAGAUUUUUCUUCCUGUGUGAGUAAACCGUAGUACCCAGAGAAAACCUACAACACUUGGUUCAGGGUUGACUCAUUUCAUAAUUCCAACACCAAUAUUGCAAAGAGAAAUUAGAUUUUUAA